GGACCCGCACAAGCGGUGGAGCAUGUGGUUUAAUUCGAUGCAACGCGAAGAACCUUACCUACUCUUGACAUCCAGAGAAGCCAGCGGAGACGCAGGUGUGCCUUCGGGAACUCUGAGACAGGUGCUGCAUGGCUGUCGUCAGCUCGUGUUGUGAAAUGUUGGUUAAGUCCCGCAACGAGCGCAACCCCUAUCCUUGUUUGCCAGCACGUAAAGGUGGGAACUCCAGGGAGACUGCCGGUGAUAAACCGGAGGAAGGUGGGGACGACGUCAAGUCAUCAUGGCCCUUACGAGUAGGGCUACACACGUGCUACAAUGGCGCAUACAGAGGGCGGCGAACUUGCGAAAGUAAGCGAA
Molecule: ribosomal RNA, 354 nt
Filed under: uncultured bacterium
Lineage: Bacteria
Description: bacterial SSU rRNA
Rfam family: Bacterial small subunit ribosomal RNA
Source: RNAcentral